GGGCCACUUGUAUGUGACUGUUUGUGUGGUGGAGACAACAGAUCACUUGGUUGUGAUUAUUUGUUGCUACUUUUGGUUGUGUGUUGUAGCAGAUCAGGUAAUCAUUUUGGGUUUGUGACUGUUGUGCUCCUUUGUGUUGGUCACAUGUUACUUUUUGUCUGUUCAGUGUGGCAACUUCAAAUCCUCAUGCCCAUCCAUGCUUAGAGAUGCCAACUAUAACGUGAACACUGUGCUUCUGUUAGCUUUAACUUUUAUUCCAGGUUUGUGGGUCAAGGAACUGAAGGCUUCAGAGGGGCUUUUAAUAAAUUUAAGGGUCCUAGAGGAACCCUUUUAAGGGAGGAGGUGUUACGUCCCUCUGCAGCUUUUAAUCGUCUCAGUGUUUUCAGCUGGUGCUAAUUGGCCACACCUAGUCAGGUGUGGAUAAAAGCAUACCUGAGGCAAGCUUUCCGGCAGUGCACUAGUCUUUGCCUUGGUGGCACCAGCCAUUUUAGCCAACCUGGUUUUCCAUUUUAGGAUGAAACUUCUUCUCACCCACACUCUGUUAUUCAUCUCCUUUUUUUUUUUUUUUUUUAAUGUUGCGGCUUUUGAGCCGGGUCGUAACAUAAGUGUUUUUUUUUUUUGUUUUUUUUUUUUUUUGUUUUUUUUUGUGGGUCAACACAAAUUAUUUUAUUAAAACACAUAUGUGGUGAAGGCUCUGCAAAACAUCAGGCUCCAUCUCCCGCCUGACAAUAGGUGGGGUGUAAUAUUUAUACAACGUUUUGAGGACUGUCAAUAGAAGUCAUUCUGAAUCACCACCUGCUGUCAGUCACAGCUUGCUUUGGGUGUUUCUACCACACACACUCCACAGAUGUGUGGACAACUGCAAACAGGGUCAGCGUGCCAGAAAGCACAAUGAAGUUUUGAUUCUGGGUAGAGGCGUGGUUCUGAUGACAUUCCUGCACUGUCCUGGUUUCUCUCGAGCCAUGCUGCUGCUAACUGUGCCUCUGAAUGCAGUUGCUGAAGUCAACCAGCAGCCAGCGCUGGAUCUCACCAGCCUCAGCCUGCUGCUGCUCACUCUGUCUC
Long non-coding RNA from Astatotilapia calliptera (eastern happy), 1062 nucleotides. The record is from Ensembl. NCBI's taxonomy places the organism in Eukaryota, Metazoa, Chordata, Actinopteri, Cichliformes, Cichlidae.